GAGUGGUAGUUCAGCUGGUUAGAAUACCUGCCUGUCACGCAGGGGGUCGCGGUGCCUGUCACGCA
Molecule: transfer RNA, 65 nt
Filed under: Pasteurella multocida
Lineage: Bacteria; Pseudomonadati; Pseudomonadota; Gammaproteobacteria; Pasteurellales; Pasteurellaceae
Description: tRNA-Asp
Source: RNAcentral